AUUGAACGCUGGCGGCGUGCUUAGCACAUGCAAGUCGUGCGGUAACAGGCGUAGCAAUACGUGCUGACGAGCGGCGAACGGGUGCGUAAUACAUGGGAAUCUGCCCUUUAGUGGGGAAUAACCCGGCGAAAGCCGGGCUAAUGCCGCAUAAGAUCUUCGGAUGAAAGCGGGGGAUCGUAAGACCUCGCGCUGAUGGAUGAGCCCAUGUCGGAUUAGCUAGUUGGUGAGGUAACGGCUCACCAAGGCGACGAUCCGUAGCUGGUCUGAGAGGACGGCCAGCCACACUGGGAC
This 291-nucleotide ribosomal RNA is filed under the name uncultured bacterium. RNAcentral's name for it is "partial 16S ribosomal RNA". It matches the Rfam family "Bacterial small subunit ribosomal RNA", at positions 30 to 319 of the family's 1533-position model. The record is from RNAcentral.